UACGUAGGGGGGCUAGCGUUGUCCGGAUUUAUUGGGCGUAAAGAGCGUGUAGGCGGUUUGGUAGGUCCGCUGUGAAAACUCGAGCUCAACCUCGAGACGCCGGUGGAAACCAUCAGACUAGAGUCCGGAAGAGGAGAGUGGAAUUCCUGGUGUAGCGGUGAAAUGCGCAGAUAUCAGGAAGAACACCCCGUGGCUAAGGCGGCUCUCUAGUACGGUACUGACGCUGAGACGCGAAAGCGUGGGGGAGCGAACAGG
RNAcentral lists this ribosomal RNA (255 nucleotides) under uncultured bacterium. RNAcentral's name for it is "partial 16S ribosomal RNA". It matches the Rfam family "Bacterial small subunit ribosomal RNA", at positions 524 to 776 of the family's 1533-position model. The record is from RNAcentral.